Molecule: ribosomal RNA, 544 nt
Filed under: uncultured archaeon
Lineage: Archaea
Description: bacterial SSU rRNA
Rfam family: Archaeal small subunit ribosomal RNA
Source: RNAcentral
ACGUGGAUAACCUGCCCUAAGGUGGGGCAUAACCCCGGGAAACUGGGGAUAAUACCCCAUAGGUUAGAGAUGCUGGAAUGCACUUUAACCCAAAGCUCCGGCGCCUUAGGAUGGAUCUGCGGCCGAUUAGGUAGUUGUUGGGGUAAUGGCCCAACAAGCCUGUAAUCGGUACGGGUUGUGGGAGCAAGAGCCCGGAGAUGGACUCUGAGACACGAGUCCAGGCCCUACGGGGCGCAGCAGGCGCGAAAACUUUACAAUGCAGGAAACUGUGAUAAGGGAACCCCGAGUGCCCGUAUACGCGGGCUGUCCAGGUGUUUAAAACGCAUCUGAAGAAAGGGCCGGGCAAGACCGGUGCCAGCCGCCGCGGUAAUACCGGCGGCUCGAGUGGUGGCCACUUUUAUUGGGCUUAAAGCGUCCGUAGCUUGGUUGUUAAGUCUCUUGGGAAAUCUCACGGCUUAACCGUGAGGCGUCUAAGGGAUACUGGCAACCUAGGGACCGGAAGAGGUGAGAGGUACUCCAGGGGUAGGAGUGAAAUCCUGUAAUC